Molecule: ribosomal RNA, 253 nt
Filed under: uncultured bacterium
Lineage: Bacteria
Description: partial 16S ribosomal RNA
Rfam family: Bacterial small subunit ribosomal RNA
Source: RNAcentral
UACGGGGGGGGCAAGCGUUGUUCGGAAUUACUGGGCGUAAAGAGCUCGUAGGCGGUUCGUCGCGUCGGCUGUGAAAUCCCGAGGCUCAACCUCGGGUCUGCAGUCGAUACGGGCGGACUGGAGUUCGGCAGGGGAGACUGGAAUUCCUGGUGUAGCGGUGAAAUGCGCAGAUAUCAGGAGGAACACCGGUGGCGAAGGCGGUUCUCUGGGCAUGUCCUGACGCUGAGGAGCGAAAGUGUGGGGAGCGAACAGG